AACCCGUGAUGUGGACAGAUAUUUAUCAGAUCCUUGAACCUCUCCCAACAAGCUUGGAAGGUCUCGCCACCCUUCUGUAUAAAUUGAAUGAUCUUUUCAUGCAAAAAU
Small nucleolar RNA from Malania oleifera, 108 nucleotides. NCBI's taxonomy places the organism in Eukaryota, Viridiplantae, Streptophyta, Magnoliopsida, Santalales, Ximeniaceae. The record is from RefSeq and is a predicted model, not a curated record.